Molecule: long non-coding RNA, 240 nt
Organism: Arabidopsis lyrata subsp. lyrata
Lineage: Eukaryota; Viridiplantae; Streptophyta; Magnoliopsida; Brassicales; Brassicaceae
Exons: 4
Source: RefSeq, a predicted model, not a curated record
GGAACAUUCAAAGAAACUUCAUUAAAGACUAGUCAAUGGAAGAUAUUUUGGAUGAGGAAAACGAUGGAGACUAUAUGGAUGCGGAGUCGCAGGGCCAUAGCAACACUUCCUCUUUUCCAAUAUAUAAUGCAUCGCUUUGAGAUUCAAGUAUAUUCAGAACCAGAGUCUUCUUGAAGUUGAUGAGUCAGAUGAUGAACCACUUUGAACAAAUUUGGAUGCCAAGAAUAACCAAGGUUAAAC